CAAUAGCGUAUAUUAAAGUUGUUGCAGUUAAAAAGCUCGUAGUUGGAUUUCUGUGAGAGUGCCGGUGUCGGCUGAUGCUUGUACGCAGGCGCUCUUACAUCCUUCUGUUAACUGUUCUUGGCAUUUUAUUGCUGGUUCAGGGCUCAGAUAUUUUACCUUGAGAAAAUUAGAGUGUUUCAGGCAGGCUUAUGCCGGAAUACAUUAGCAUGGAAUAAUGGAACAGGACCUGUGCGUCUCUCGGGGCGCCGGUCUCCGUUAUUGGUUUCGGGGACUAAUGUAAUGAUUAAUAGGGAUAGUCGGGGGCAUUAGUAUUUAAUAGUCAGAGGUGAAAUUCUCGGAUUUGUUAAAGACUAACUUAUGCGAAAGCAUUUGCCAAGGAUGUUUNCAUUAA
This 391-nucleotide ribosomal RNA is filed under the name uncultured eukaryote. RNAcentral describes it as "partial 18S ribosomal RNA". It matches the Rfam family "Eukaryotic small subunit ribosomal RNA", at positions 592 to 976 of the family's 1831-position model. The record is from RNAcentral.